RNAcentral lists this small RNA (27 nucleotides) under Bombyx mori (domestic silkworm). RNAcentral's name for it is "ovarian small RNA-35764". Lineage: Eukaryota; Metazoa; Arthropoda; Insecta; Lepidoptera; Bombycidae. The record is from RNAcentral.
UGUCUACAUCGGAAAUCGCUUUAUACU